AGAGUUUGAUCAUCGGCUCACAAUGAACGUUGGCGGCGUGGAUUAGGCAUGCAAGUCGAGCGGUGAAGCAGUGCUUGCACUGUGGAUUAGCGGCGAAAGGGAGAGUAACGAGUGGAUUACCUACCUUCAGGACCAGGAUAGCUGCGAGAAAUUGCAGGUAAUACUGGAUAAUAUCUCCGGAUCAAAUGGUGUGAUUCCGCCUGGAGAUGGGUCCGCUUCCUAUUAGCUUGUUGGUGGGGUAACGGCCUACCAAGGCUGCGAUGGGUACCGGGUGUGAGAGCAUGGCCCGGCUCACUGGGACUGAGACACUGCCCAGACACCUACGGGUGGCUGCAGUCGAGAAUCUUCCGCAAUGGACGCAAGUCUGACGGAGCGACGCCGCGUGCGGGAUGAAGGCCUUCGGGUUGUAAACCGCUGUCAGUUGGGAGGAAAUGCUAUGGGGCUAUCCCCAUAGUUUGACCUAUCUUCAGAGGAAGGACGGGCUAAGUUCGUGCCAGCAGCCGCGGUAAUACGAACCGUCCAAACGUUAUUCGGAAUCACUGGGCUUAAAGGGUGCGUAGGCGGCUUGGCAAGUUGGGUGUGAAAUCCCUCGGCUCAACCGAGGAACUGCGCUCAAAACUGCCAAGCUAGAGGGAGAUAGAGGUGAGCGGAACUUAUGGUGGAGCGGUGAAAUGCGUUGAUAUCAUAAGGAACACCGGUGGCGAAAGCGGCUCACUGGAUCUCUUCUGACGCUGAGGCACGAAAGCUAGGGUAGCGAACGGGAUUAGAUACCCCGGUAGUCCUAGCUGUAAACGAUGAGCACUGGGUUGGAGG
RNAcentral lists this ribosomal RNA (813 nucleotides) under uncultured Planctomycetota bacterium. Its description in RNAcentral is "bacterial SSU rRNA". It matches the Rfam family "Bacterial small subunit ribosomal RNA", at positions 8 to 827 of the family's 1533-position model. The record is from RNAcentral. Lineage: Bacteria; Pseudomonadati; Planctomycetota.